Molecule: ribosomal RNA, 230 nt
Filed under: uncultured bacterium
Lineage: Bacteria
Description: partial 16S ribosomal RNA
Rfam family: Bacterial small subunit ribosomal RNA
Source: RNAcentral
CUCGUAGGCGGUUCAGUAAGUCGGGUGUGAAAACUCUGGGCUCAACCCAGAGACGCCACCCGAUACUGCUGUGACUUGAGUACGGUAGGGGAGCGGGGAAUUCCUGGUGUAGCGGUGAAAUGCGCAGAUAUCAGGAGGAACACCAGUGGCGAAGGCGCCGCUCUGGGCCGAAACUGACGCUGAGGAGCGAAAGCAUGGGUAGCAAACAGGAUUAGAUACCCUGGUAGUCC